GACGAACGCUGGCGGCGUGCCUAAUACAUGCAAGUUGAGCGCUGAAGGUUGGUACUUGUACCAACUGGAUGAGCAGCGAACGGGUGAGUAACGCGUGGGGAAUCUGCCUUUGAGCGGGGGACAACAUUUGGAAACGAAUGCUAAUACCGCAUAAAAACUUUAAACACAAGUUUUAAGUUUGAAAGAUGCAAUUGCAUCACUCAAAGAUGAUCCCGCGUUGUAUUAGCUAGUUGGUGAGGUAAAGGCUCACCAAGGCGAUGAUACAUAGCCGACCUGAGAGGGUGAUCGGCCACAUUGGGACUGAGACACGGCCCAAACUCCUACGGGAGGCAGCAGUAGGGAAUCUUCGGCAAUGGACGAAGGUCUGACCGAGCAACGCCGCGGGAGUGAAGAAGGUUUUCGGAUCGUAAAACUCUGUUGGUAGAGAAGAACGUUGGUGAGAGUGGAAAGCUCAUCAAGUGACGGUAACUACCCAGAAAGGGACGGCUAACUACGUG
This 497-nucleotide ribosomal RNA is filed under the name uncultured bacterium. RNAcentral's name for it is "partial 16S ribosomal RNA". It matches the Rfam family "Bacterial small subunit ribosomal RNA", at positions 28 to 507 of the family's 1533-position model. The record is from RNAcentral.